ACACCAGUUGAUCCUGCUGGAGGACACUGCUAUCGGAUUUCGAUUAAGCCAUGCAAGUUCUGCGGUUCAAGCGUUGAGCCGCAGCGUACGGCUGAGUAACACGUAAUCAACCUAACCUAGUGACGGGGACAACCUUGGGAAACUGAGGGUAAUUCCCGAUAGGCCAGGGAUUCUGGAACGAGUCCUGGCCGAAAAGGGCGCGCGGAUUGCAGCGCGUUCCGCACUAGGAUGGGAUUGCGGCUGAUUAGCUAGUUGGUGGGGUAACGGCCCACCAAGGCGAUAAUCAGUAGGGGCUAUGGGAGUAGGAGCCCCCAGACGGGCACUGAGACAAGGGCCCGAGCCCUACGGGGUGCAGCAGGCGCGAAACUUCCACAAUGCGCGAAAGCGUGAUGGGGGAAAUCCGAGUGAUGGCCUAACGGCCAUCUUUUACCAAGUUUGAUUCGCUUGGGGAAUAAGGGGUGGGUAAAUCCUGUGCCAGCCGCCGCGGUAACACAGGUAGCCCAAGUGGUGUCCACGAAUAUUGAGCUUAAAGCGUUCGUAGCCGGUUCGGCCAGUUUCCUGUGAAAUCUCUUCGCUUAACGAAGAGGCGUGCAGGGAAUACUACCGGGCUAGGGAGUGGGGGAGGUCAGAGGUACGCUAGGGGGAACGGUAAAAUGUUGUAAUCCUUGGCGGACCACCAGUGGCGAAGGCGUCUGGCCAAAACACGUCCGACGGUGAGGGACGAAGGCUAGGGGAGCAAAUCGGAUUAGAUACCCGAGUAG
Molecule: ribosomal RNA, 761 nt
Filed under: Microcaldota archaeon
Lineage: Archaea; Nanobdellati; Microcaldota
Description: bacterial SSU rRNA
Rfam family: Archaeal small subunit ribosomal RNA
Source: RNAcentral